Molecule: ribosomal RNA, 478 nt
Filed under: uncultured Pasteurellales bacterium
Lineage: Bacteria; Pseudomonadati; Pseudomonadota; Gammaproteobacteria; Pasteurellales
Description: bacterial SSU rRNA
Rfam family: Bacterial small subunit ribosomal RNA
Source: RNAcentral
CGGCAGGCUUAACACAUGCAAGUCGAACGGUAGCAGGAGAAAGCUUGCUUUUUUGCUGACGAGUGGCGGACGGGUGAGUAAUACUUGGGAAUCUGGCUUAUGGAGGGGGAUAACUACGGGAAACUGUAGCUAAUACCGCGUAGUAUCGAAAGAUGAAAGUGCGGGACCGCAAGGCCGCAUGCCAUGAGAUGAGCCCAAGUGGGAUUAGGUAGUUGGUGGGGUAAAGGCCUACCAAGCCUGCGAUCUCUAGCUGGUCUGAGAGGAUGGCCAGCCACACUGGAACUGAGACACGGUCCAGACUCCUACGGGAGGCAGCAGUGGGGAAUAUUGCGCAAUGGGGGGAACCCUGACGCAGCCAUGCCGCGUGAAUGAAGAAGGCCUUCGGGUUGUAAAGUUCUUUCGGUAUUGAGGAAGGUUGAUGUAAUAAUAGUGCAUCAAAUUGACGUUAAAUACAGAAGAAGCACCGGCUAACUCCGUG